GACGAACGCUGGCGGCGUGCUUAACACAUGCAAGUCGAACGGAAAGGCCCUGCUUUUGUGCUGUUCUCGAGUGGCGAACGCGUGCGUAACACGUGAGUAACCUGCCCUUCACUUUCGGAUAACUUCACGAAACUAGGGCUACUAUCGGAUAGGAUCUCCCGCUCCAUUGUGGGCGUUGGAAAUUUUCGGCGGUUGGGGUUGGACUCGCGGCUUAUCAGCUUGUUGGUUGGGUAGUGGUUUACCAAGGCUUUGACCGGUCGCCGGCCUGGGAGGGUGACCGGGGACCAGGGGACUGAGAUACGGCGCAGACUGCAACGGGAGGCAGCAGUGGGGAAUAUGGCACAGUGAGCGGAAGCGGGAUGCAGCAACGCCGCGGGCGGGAUGACGGCCUUUGGGUAGUAAACCGCUUUCGCCUGUGACGAAGCGUGAGUGACGGUAAUGGGUAAAGAAGCACCGGCUAACUACGUG
RNAcentral lists this ribosomal RNA (468 nucleotides) under uncultured bacterium. RNAcentral's name for it is "partial 16S ribosomal RNA". It matches the Rfam family "Bacterial small subunit ribosomal RNA", at positions 28 to 507 of the family's 1533-position model. The record is from RNAcentral.